CAGUCCACGGGAAUACAGAGGGUGCAAGCGUUAAUCGGAAUUACUGGGCGUAAAGGGCGCGUAGGCGGCCUGUUAAGUCGGAUGUGAAAGCCCGGGGCUCAACCCCGGAACUGCAUCCGAGACUGGCAGGCUUGAGACCGGGAGAGGAGGGUGGAAUAUCCAGUGUAGAGGUGAAGUUCGUAGAUAUUGGAUGGAACACCGGUGGCGAAAGCGGCUCUCUGGCCCGGAUCUGACGCUGAGGCGCGAAAGCGUGGGGAGCAAACAGGAUUAGAUACCCCCGUAGUCCCUGUCUCUUAUACAC
Molecule: ribosomal RNA, 301 nt
Filed under: uncultured bacterium
Lineage: Bacteria
Description: partial 16S ribosomal RNA
Rfam family: Bacterial small subunit ribosomal RNA
Source: RNAcentral